This 253-nucleotide ribosomal RNA is filed under the name uncultured bacterium. Its description in RNAcentral is "partial 16S ribosomal RNA". It matches the Rfam family "Bacterial small subunit ribosomal RNA", at positions 524 to 776 of the family's 1533-position model. The record is from RNAcentral.
UACGGAGGGUGCGAGCGUUGUCCGGAAUCACUGGGCUUAAAGGGCGCGUAGGCGGCUCGCAAGGUCGGGGGUGAAAUCCCGCAGCUCAACUGCGGAAGUGCCUUCGAUACCGGCGGGCUCGAGGAAGGUAGGGGUGCGCGGAACUUCUGGUGGAGCGGUGAAAUGCGUUGAUAUCAGAAGGAACGCCGGCGGCGAAAGCGGCGCACUGGACCUUUUCUGACGCUGAGGCGCGAAAGCCAGGGGAGCAAACGGG